GGGGAAUAUUGCACAAUGGGGGAAACCCUGAUGCAGCCAUGCCGCGUGUGUGAAGAAGGCCUUCGGGUUGUAAAGCACUUUCAGUAGGGAGGAAAGGUUGACGGUUAAUACCCGUUAGCUGUGACGUUACCUACAGAAGAAGGACCGGCUAACUCCGUGCCAGCAGCCGCGGUAAUACGGAGGGUCCGAGCGUUAAUCGGAAUUACUGGGCGUAAAGCGUGCGCAGGCGGUUUGUUAAGCGAGAUGUGAAAGCCCCGGGCUCAACCUGGGAAUUGCAUUUUGAACUGGCAAACUAGAGUCUUGUAGAGGGGGGUAGAAUUUCAGGUGUAGCGGUGAAAUGCGUAGAGAUCUGAAGGAAUACCGGUGGCGAAGGCGGCCCCCUGGACAAAGACUGACGCUCAUGCACGAAAGCGUGGGGAGCAAACAGGAUUAGAUACCCUGGUAGUCCACGCCGUAAACGAUGUCUACUCGGAGUUUGGUGUCUUGAACACUGGGCUCUCAAGCUAACGCAUUAAGUAGACCGCCUGGGG
Molecule: ribosomal RNA, 530 nt
Filed under: Shewanella sp. H1b
Lineage: Bacteria; Pseudomonadati; Pseudomonadota; Gammaproteobacteria; Alteromonadales; Shewanellaceae
Description: bacterial SSU rRNA
Rfam family: Bacterial small subunit ribosomal RNA
Source: RNAcentral